Molecule: ribosomal RNA, 253 nt
Filed under: uncultured bacterium
Lineage: Bacteria
Description: partial 16S ribosomal RNA
Rfam family: Bacterial small subunit ribosomal RNA
Source: RNAcentral
UACGUAGGGGGCAAGCGUUGUCCGGAAUCAUUGGGCGUAAAGCGCGUGUAGGCGGUUCGAUAAGUCUGCUGUGAAAGUCCAGGGCUCAACCCUGGGAUGCCGGUGGAUACUGUCGGGCUCGAGUCCGGAAGAGGCGAGUGGAAUUCCUGGUGUAGCGGUGAAAUGCGCAGAUAUCAGGAGGAACACCAAUGGCGAAGGCAGCUCGCUGGGACGUGACUGACGCUGAGACGCGAAAGCGUGGGGAGCAAACAGG